Molecule: ribosomal RNA, 446 nt
Filed under: uncultured bacterium
Lineage: Bacteria
Description: partial 16S ribosomal RNA
Rfam family: Bacterial small subunit ribosomal RNA
Source: RNAcentral
CCUACGGGUGGCAGCAGUCGAGAAUCAUUCACAAUGGGGGAAACCCUGAUGGUGCGACGCCGCGUGGGGGAAUGAAGGUCUUCGGAUUGUAAACCCCUGUCAUGUGGGAGCAAAUUAAAAAGAUAGUACCACAAGAGGAAGAGACGGCUAACUCUGUGCCAGCAGCCGCGGUAAUACAGAGGUCUCAAGCGUUGUUCGGAAUCACUGGGCGUAAAGCGUGCGUAGGCUGUUUCGUAAGUCGCGUGUGAAAGGCGCGGACUCAACCCGCGGACGGCACAUGAUACUGCGAGACUAGAGUAAUGGAGGGGGAACCGGAAUUCUCGGUGUAGCAGUGAAAUGCGUAGAUAUCGAGAGGAACACUCGUGGCGAAGGCGGGUUCCUGGACAUUAACUGACGCUGAGGCACGAAGGCCAGGGGAGCGAAAGGGAUUAGAUACCCCUGUAGUC